RNAcentral lists this long non-coding RNA (903 nucleotides) under Nicotiana benthamiana. Its description in RNAcentral is "long non-coding RNA (NBEN_LNC011895)". The record is from RNAcentral. Lineage: Eukaryota; Viridiplantae; Streptophyta; Magnoliopsida; Solanales; Solanaceae.
GCACUGUAUCAUCUUGAUGUAAUAAUGGAGAUUGUUGAGUUGUCUUUACCAAUACUUGAAUUCUGGAUUCAACUUACGCGUCUCCUCCUCUAAUAUUUAUGAAUCGUAGUAAAUUAAAAAGUGUGGCAGUGCUCCAUUGAAACUUAGUAUGUCGUAUAGACUACAAGUAGAGUGUGCAAUGAAGGGAAACUUCUCUAGGAAAGUCUAUGGAUAAUCAGGGGAGUAGAAGUAGGAGAUGUAAUAGUUUUAGAUCAAUAUACACUUACAAAUUAUACAUGUAACAAGGCAGUUGCCAAAUAACAUAGGACAUGAAGAUGAUGAAGAGUAUCCAGGUAUGACAACCAUAUCUUUGCACUUUUCUGUUAUUAUUGAAGAAGAAUCUAUAUUGACAAACAUAGAUGUAUGUAUUAAUAAUCCAUCCCUAUUAAUUGAUUUAACUAUUACUUUUCUUAGAUGUGGAUGUUGAAUGUGAUGAAAUUUACACUGAAGAUACUUAUCAGAUACUCCUUAUUCACUCAACAUAGUUGGAUAAAAUAAGUCAUUAAUCUAUGUCUUUGACUUUAUAUAUUAUUGUAAGUAUAUAUUACUAGGACAAAGGAGAUGCUACAUAUGAAUGCGAAAAGUGCGGUGCUCUUUUUGGUAUGAAGAAAGAAUCUGCAAGCAUUACAACUCAAAAAAGUCUAUUUUCACAAUGUGUUGUGAUCGUGGAAAAAUAAAGCUUCCAGAUCUUAAGAAGCCUCCUGAAGUUCUGAAAUAACUUUUAUUUGGAUCAGGUUAGAGGAAUUAUAACUUUUAUUUGGAUCAGGUUAGAGGAAUUAUAACUUUUAAUAUCAACAUGUUCAUAUCAUCUUAUAUUCACAUUUAUCAUUUUGCAAUGGUUUUAAUAUAGGUCCUAAAAGUAGC